Myotis davidii is the source of this 171-nucleotide long non-coding RNA. RefSeq lists it as uncharacterized. The record is from RefSeq and is a predicted model, not a curated record. The transcript has 3 exons. NCBI's taxonomy places the organism in Eukaryota, Metazoa, Chordata, Mammalia, Chiroptera, Vespertilionidae.
GUCUGAACAAGAUACUUAUCUUUCUCCGACUAGCUCAUUUCGCUCACCAUAAUGCUCUCCAGAUCCAGCCAUGCUGCUGCGAAUGGUAAGAGUGCUUCCUUUUUCAUUGCUGCAUAGUAUUCCAUUGUGUAAAUGUACCACAGCUUUUUCAUCCACUCAUCUAUUGAUGGG